AUAAGUUAGUUUCUUCGGUUUUGGCUGCAAGUACUCUGCUUUUCAUUCUGCUUAAUUUUUCGACUGGUAUGUCUCUUCUAGUUUUAGUACUGCCUUUCUCCUAUGUAUUUCUUAUUCAGUUCUCUCUGUGAUUAUUUCUACUACUUUCUGCAAUUUGUUAUUCCUGCUCUUAUAUUAACUCCCCAUCCCUAUACUCCUUUGAAUGAUGAGUUAAGUCUAAGAAAGCAUGACAAUAUUUAAGAUUGUUGUUCAUGUACAUGGACUAGAUUGUUUGAAUCUAAACUCUUUAAAUUCCCAUUCUCUUUUCCCCUAUGUGCACUCUAAGCCCAAGACCUUGGUCUCGUAGUGUCCUAAUAACUG
This 360-nucleotide long non-coding RNA is filed under the name Nicotiana benthamiana. Its description in RNAcentral is "long non-coding RNA (NBEN_LNC038388)". Lineage: Eukaryota; Viridiplantae; Streptophyta; Magnoliopsida; Solanales; Solanaceae. The record is from RNAcentral.